GAUGAACGCUGGCGGCGUGCCUAAUACAUGCAAGUCGAGCGAACGGACGAGAAGCUUGCUUCUCUGAUGUUAGCGGCGGACGGGCGAGUAACACGUGGAUACCCUACCUAUAAGACUGGGAUCACUUCGGGAAACUGUAGCUAAUACCGGACAAUAUUUUGAACCGCAUGGUUCAAAAGUGAAAGACGGCCUUGCUGUCACUUAUAGAUGGAUCCCCGCUGCAUUAGGUCGUUGGUCAGGUCACGCCUUAACAAGGCAACGAUGCAUAGCCGACCUGAAGGGGUGAUCGGCCAGACUGGAACUGAGACACGGUCCAGACUCCUACGGGAGGCAGCAGUAGGGAAUCUUCCGCAAUGGGCGAAAGCCUGACGGAGCAACGCCGCGUGAGUGAUGAAGGUCUUCGGAUCGUAAAGCUCUGUUAUUAGGGGAGAACAUAUGUGUAAGUAACUGUGCACAUCUUGACGGUACCUAAUCAGAAAGCCACGGCUAACUACGUG
This 497-nucleotide ribosomal RNA is filed under the name uncultured bacterium. RNAcentral's name for it is "partial 16S ribosomal RNA". It matches the Rfam family "Bacterial small subunit ribosomal RNA", at positions 28 to 507 of the family's 1533-position model. The record is from RNAcentral.